Molecule: ribosomal RNA, 525 nt
Filed under: uncultured bacterium
Lineage: Bacteria
Description: bacterial SSU rRNA
Rfam family: Bacterial small subunit ribosomal RNA
Source: RNAcentral
AGAGUUUGAUCCUGGCUCAGAUUGAACGCUGGCGGAAUGCUUUACACAUGCAAGUCGAACGGCAGCACGGGAGCUUGCUCCUGGUGGCGAGUGGCGAACGGGUGAGUAAUAUAUCGGAACAUAUCCUAUCGUGGGGGAUAACUAGUCGAAAGACUAGCUAAUACCGCAUACGUCCUGAGGGAGAAAGCGGGGGCUCGCAAGACCUCGCGCGAUUGGAGUGGCCGAUAUCUGAUUAGCUAGAUGGUGAGGUAAAGGCUCACCAUGGCUUCGAUCAGUAGCUGGUCUGAGAGGAUGAUCAGCCACACUGGGACUGAGACACGGCCCAGACUCCUACGGGAGGCAGCAGUGGGGAAUUUUGGACAAUGGGCGAAAGCCUGAUCCAGCCAUUCCGCGUGAGUGAAGAAGGCCUUCGGGUUGUAAAGCUCUUUCGGCAGGAAAGAAAUUGCCGUUUCUAAUACAAACGGUAGAUGACGGUACCUGAAGAAGAAGCACCGGCUAACUACGUGCCAGCAGCCGCGGUAAUAC